GACGAACGCUGGCGGCGCGCUUAACACAUGCAAGUCGAGCGAUGAAAUCUUAACAGAACCCUUCGGGGUGAAGAUAAGACGGAUUAGCGGCUGACGGGUGAGUAACACGUGAGUAACCUGCCUUUUACACAGGGAUAGCCUCAGGAAACCGGGAUUAAAACCUGAUGAAACUAACAAAUCACAUGAUUAAGAAUGUUAAAACUCCGGUGGUAAAAGAUGGACUCGCGUCCCAUUAGCUAGUUGGUGAAGGUAACGGCCCACCAAGGAAACGAUGGGUAGCCGGGCUGGGAGGGUGACCGGCCACAUUGGAACUGAGACACGGACCAAACUCCUACGGGAGGCAGCAGUGGGGAAUAUUGCACAAUGGGGGAAACCCUGAUGCAGCGACGCCGCGUGAGAGAAGAAGGCCUUCGGGUAGUAAAGCUCUUUUAUAUGGGAAGAUAAUGACGGUACCAGAAGAAAAAGCCCCGGCUAACUACGUG
Molecule: ribosomal RNA, 482 nt
Filed under: uncultured bacterium
Lineage: Bacteria
Description: partial 16S ribosomal RNA
Rfam family: Bacterial small subunit ribosomal RNA
Source: RNAcentral